UACGUAGGGACCAAGCGUUGUUCGGAUUUACUGGGCGUAAAGGGCGCGUAGGCGGCGCGGUAAGUCGCUUGUGAAAUCUCUGAGCUUAACUCAGAACGGCCAAGUGAUACUGCAGUGCUAGAGUGUGGAAGGGGCAAUCGGAAUUCUUGGUGUAGCGGUGAAAUGCGUAGAUAUCAAGAGGAACACCUGAGGUGAAGACGGGUUGCUGGGCCAACACUGACGCUGAGGCGCGAAAGCCAGGGGAGCAAACGGG
Molecule: ribosomal RNA, 253 nt
Filed under: uncultured bacterium
Lineage: Bacteria
Description: partial 16S ribosomal RNA
Rfam family: Bacterial small subunit ribosomal RNA
Source: RNAcentral